Mytilus californianus (California mussel) is the source of this 412-nucleotide long non-coding RNA. RefSeq lists it as uncharacterized. The transcript is spliced from 2 exons. The record is from RefSeq and is a predicted model, not a curated record. NCBI's taxonomy places the organism in Eukaryota, Metazoa, Mollusca, Bivalvia, Mytilida, Mytilidae.
ACGUAUUAUUAUAAGAAAUAAUGAACAUUUUCAUAAACAAUGAUGGCAAUUCAAUACCAGUGUAUCUAUAGAUGGAUGAUACUUUUGUCUUGCAUUUAUGGCUUUUGCGAAGCGGAACACACUGUUAUAGGGCAUGUUGACUCGACAAUCAUAUUAAACUGCGCAUUAGAUGGAACCAUUACAUGGUACAGCCCUGCCAAAAAUCCUCCGCCACCUGAAGCUGUUUAUUUCUGGAAGAACCAAUCAAAUGCUCCCGAUAUUCCGGAUAACUUUAGACCAAGAUUGUCAGUGGUAGGAGAUUUUAAUCAUGGGAGAUACAACCUUAAAAUCCAGAAACUACAGGUUACAGACCAAGGACUGUACAUGUGCGAACUUAAAGGUUCAGUCGACAAAUUCAGGUUGAAAGUAAUAG